RNAcentral lists this small nucleolar RNA (79 nucleotides) under Neogobius melanostomus (round goby). Its description in RNAcentral is "Small nucleolar RNA snR60/Z15/Z230/Z193/J17 (ENSNMLG00000010075.1)". It matches the Rfam family "Small nucleolar RNA snR60/Z15/Z230/Z193/J17". Rfam says of the family: The members of this family belong to the C/D class of snoRNAs which contain the C (UGAUGA) and D (CUGA) box motifs. Lineage: Eukaryota; Metazoa; Chordata; Actinopteri; Gobiiformes; Gobiidae. The record is from Rfam by way of RNAcentral.
UUGCUACAAUGAUGAUCGCAUAGUUCAACAGAUUUUCUAUGACGAAUAAGUUGUCUUUCGCUCCUAUCUGAUGUAUUGG